UACGUAGGGUGCGAGCGUUAAUCGGAAUUACUGGGCGUAAAGCGUGCGCAGGCGGUUUUGUAAGACAGAUGUGAAAUCCCCGGGCUUAACCUGGGAACUGCAUUUGUGACUGCAAGACUAGAGUGCGGCAGAGGGGGGUAGAAUUCCACGUGUAGCAGUGAAGUUCGUAGAUAUUGGGAAGAACACCGGUGGCGAAGGCGGCUCACUGGCCCGUAACUGACGCUCAGGCGCGAUAGCGUGGGGAUCAAACAGG
Molecule: ribosomal RNA, 253 nt
Filed under: uncultured bacterium
Lineage: Bacteria
Description: partial 16S ribosomal RNA
Rfam family: Bacterial small subunit ribosomal RNA
Source: RNAcentral